AACUGGUUGAUCCUGCCAGUAGUCAUAUGCUUGUCUCAAAGACUAAGCCAUGCGUGUCUAAGUAUAAGUAUUAUACAGCGAAACUGCGAAUGGCUCAUUAAAACAGUUAUAGUUUAUUUGAUAAUCGAAACCUACAUGGAUACCCGUGGUAAUUCUAGAGCUAAUACAUGCUGGUGUGCCCGACUUUUGCGGAACGGGCGGUAUUUAUUAGAUAACAAGCCAAUAUUCCUCUGGUCUAUUGUGGUGACUCAUAAUAACUGAUCGAAUCGCAUGGCCUAUGGCCGCGAUAAGUCAUUCAAGUUUCUGCCCCAUCAGCUUUCGAUGGUAGUGUAUUGGACUACCAUGGCGUUUACGGGUAACGGAGGAUUAGGGUUCGAUUCCGGAGAGGGAGCCUGAGAAACGGCUACCACAUCUAAGGAAGGCAGCAGGCGCGUAAAUUACCCAAUCCUGACUCAGGGAGGUAGUGACAAGAAAUAACGGACCGGGGUCUUCCGAGGCUUCGGGAUUGCAAUGAGCCGAAUUUACACCCCUUAGCGAGAAUCGAUUGGAGGGCAAGUCUGGUGCCAGCAGCCGCGGUAAUUCCAGCUCCAAUAGC
RNAcentral lists this ribosomal RNA (595 nucleotides) under uncultured marine eukaryote. RNAcentral describes it as "SSU rRNA". It matches the Rfam family "Eukaryotic small subunit ribosomal RNA", at positions 1 to 598 of the family's 1831-position model. The record is from RNAcentral.